RNAcentral lists this ribosomal RNA (565 nucleotides) under uncultured Bacteroidota bacterium. RNAcentral describes it as "bacterial SSU rRNA". It matches the Rfam family "Bacterial small subunit ribosomal RNA", at positions 8 to 564 of the family's 1533-position model. Lineage: Bacteria; Pseudomonadati; Bacteroidota. The record is from RNAcentral.
AGAGUUUGAUCCUGGCUCAGGAUGAACGCUAGCGGCAGGCUUAACACAUGCAAGUCGAGGGGUAACAGGGAAAAGCUUGCUUUUUUGCUGACGACCGGCGCACGGGUGAGUAACGCGUAUACAAUUUACCUUAUACAGGAGGAUAGCCUUUAGAAAUGAAGAUUAAUACUCCAUGGCAUUAUGAUAUGGCAUCAUAUUAUAAUUAAAGAUUUAUCGGUAUAAGAUGAGUAUGCGUCCUAUUAGUUAGUUGGUAAGGUAAUGGCUUACCAAGACUUCGAUAGGUAGGGGUCCUGAGAGGGAGACCCCCCACACUGGUACUGAGACACGGACCAGACUCCUACGGGAGGCAGCAGUGAGGAAUAUUGGACAAUGGAGGCAACUCUGAUCCAGCCAUGCCGCGUGCAGGAAGACUGCCCUAUGGGUUGUAAACUGCUUUUAUAUAGGGAGAAACCCAACCACGUGUGGUUGGCUGACGGUACUGUAUGAAUAAGCACCGGCUAACUCCGUGCCAGCAGCCGCGGUAAUACGGAGGGUGCAAGCGUUAUCCGGAAUCAUUGGGUUUAAA